UGCUGGAGGUAUCAGAAGUGCGAAUGCUGACAUAAGUAACGAUAAAGCGGGUGAAAAGCCCGCUCGCCGGAAGACCAAGGGUUCCUGUCCAACGUUAAUCGGGGCAGGGUGAGUCGACCCCUAAGGCGAGGCCGAAAGGCGUAGUCGAUGGGAAACGGGUUAAUAUUCCCGUACUUGGUGUUACUGCGAAGGGGGGACGGAGAAGGCUAUGUUGGCCGGGCGACGGUUGUCCCGGUUUAAGCGUGUAGGUGUGUGUUCCAGGUAAAUCCGGAACACUGAGGCGUGACGACGAGGCACUACGGUGCUGAAGCAACAAAUGCCCUGCUUCCAGGAAAAGCCUCUAAGCAUCAGGUAACACGAAAUCGUACCCCAAACCGACACAGGUGGUCAGGUAGAGAAUACCAAGGCGCUUGAGAGAACUCGGGUGAAGGAACUAGGCAAAAUGGUGCCGUAACUUCGGGAGAAGGCACGCUGACA
This 477-nucleotide ribosomal RNA is filed under the name Salmonella enterica subsp. enterica serovar Anatum. Its description in RNAcentral is "partial 23S ribosomal RNA". It matches the Rfam family "Bacterial large subunit ribosomal RNA", at positions 1271 to 1756 of the family's 2925-position model. The record is from RNAcentral. Lineage: Bacteria; Pseudomonadati; Pseudomonadota; Gammaproteobacteria; Enterobacterales; Enterobacteriaceae.